AGAGUUUGAUCCUGGCUCAGGAUGAACUUUGGCGGCGUGCCUAACACAUGCAAGUCGAGCGAAGCGCUGUUUUCAGAAUCUUCGGAGGAAGAGGAUAGUGACUGAGCGGCGGACGGGUGAGUAACGCGUGGGCAACCUGCCUCAUACAGGGGGGAUAACAGCCAGAAAUGGCUGCUAAUACCGCAUAAGACCGAAGCGCCGCAUGGCGCGGCGGCCAAAGCCCCGGCGGUGCAAGAUGGGCCCGCGUCUGAUUAGAUAGUUGGUGAGGUAACGGCUCACCAAGUCGACGAUCGGUAGCCGGACUGAGAGGUUGAACGGCCACAUUGGGACUGAGACACGGCCCAGACUCCUACGGGAGGCAGCAGUGGGGAAUAUUGCACAAUGGGCGAAAGCCUGAUGCAGCAACGCCGCGUGAGGGAAGACGGUUUUCGGAUUGUAAACCUCUGUUUUCGGUGACGAAUAAAUGACGGUAACCGAGUAGGAAGCCACGGCUAACUACGUGCCAGCAGCCGCGGUAAUACGUAGGUGGCAAGCGUUAUCCGGAAUUACUGGGUGUAAAGGGAGCGCAGGCGGGAUAGCAAGUCAGCUGUGAAAACUAUGGGCUCAACCCAUAAACUGCAGUUGAAACUGUUAUUCUUGAGUGGAGUAGAGGCAAGCGGAAUUCCGAGUGUAGCGGUGAAAUGCGUAGAUAUUCGGAGGAACACCAGUGGCGAAGGCGGCUUGCUGGGCUCUAACUGACGCUGAGGCUCGAAAGUGUGGGGAGCAAACAGGAUUAGAUACCCUGGUAGUCCACACUGUAAACGAUGAU
RNAcentral lists this ribosomal RNA (808 nucleotides) under uncultured bacterium. RNAcentral's name for it is "bacterial SSU rRNA". It matches the Rfam family "Bacterial small subunit ribosomal RNA", at positions 8 to 813 of the family's 1533-position model. The record is from RNAcentral.